UGGGGAAUAUUGGGCAAUGGGCGAAAGCCUGACCCAGCAACGCCGCGCGAAGGAAGAAGGUUUUCGGAUUGUAAACUUCUGUCCUCAGGGAAGAAAAAAAUGACGGUACCUGGGGAGGAAGCCCCGGCUAACUACGUGCCAGCAGCCGCGGUAAUACGUAGGGGGCGAGCGUUGUCCGGAAUGACUGGGCGUAAAGGGCGCGUAGACGGUUUUUUAAGUCUGGAGUUAAAGUCCUGCUUUCAAGGUGGGAAUUGCUUUGGAGACUGGAAGACUUGAGUGCGGAAGAGGUAAGUGGAAUUCCCAGUGUAGCGGUGAAAUGCGUAGAGAUUGGGAAGAACACCAGUGGCGAAGGCGACUUACUGGGCCGUAACUGACGCUGAGGAGCGAAAGCGUGGGGAGCAAACA
RNAcentral lists this ribosomal RNA (405 nucleotides) under uncultured prokaryote. Its description in RNAcentral is "bacterial SSU rRNA". It matches the Rfam family "Bacterial small subunit ribosomal RNA", at positions 355 to 774 of the family's 1533-position model. The record is from RNAcentral.